This 2014-nucleotide long non-coding RNA is filed under the name Carica papaya (papaya). RNAcentral's name for it is "long non-coding RNA (CPAP_LNC000678)". The record is from RNAcentral. Lineage: Eukaryota; Viridiplantae; Streptophyta; Magnoliopsida; Brassicales; Caricaceae.
AAUGUGCACAUUUCCUUGUGUAUAUAUUCAAAGUCUACUAGGUGACUGCCAACUAAAAAAAAAAAAAGACAAAUCAAGAUUUACAAAUUAUAUCUAAGGAACUAGAAAAUUAAACACAUCCAAACAAAAAAUACGAGAAUAAAUAUUUUAAAAUUUUAAGACCUCCCUACCCAUUACUGUCAUCCUUGAAGCAUUUCUUAUGCACCAGCAUCAGUUUAGUUCUACCUUCUCCUAUUCCUAUCCCAGUUGACUUUCUCAAGGAAUAUCACAACAAAUGUCAAAAGAAAAAAUAAACAAAAACUAAGAGGAGGUCAAAGAAUUUUGUAUGUCAGAUUUAGGAACAUUAUAAGAACAUCUGAGGCUCUAUAUUUUUCAGCUCUGAGAAGUCCAUAUUUCAAAAUUUUCUCACCAUUGGUCCAAAGGAACGAAAAAUAAAUCAGAAAACAUAAGAAAGAGACUAAAAAUUAAUUUAACAUAUAAAGUCCUACAGCAUGCUAAACAACCAUUAAAUCCAUUUUUUCCAGUGAAAUAUAACUCAUAUAACUCAGGAGCCAUGAAGAAAAACAAAAACUGAAAGACAAUAAAGUAUUCGUAAUCAUUUUUUUAAAUAACAAUAAAAGGUUCAUAAUAUUUACAAUUUGCGACCCAAAUCCACAAUCAACUCAAGAUAAUAUUACAGGCACUAAUUUGUAAAGAAAACAGAAGUUAGUUAAUACCAUUUAUCAUUAGAACCAGAAAAUAACAAGCCAAUAACAAGGUGGCUUUUGCUUUCUCGAAAAGACUUUUUCUCAAGUAGGUCGCACGCAAUAUGAAUGUGACUUAAGUGGAAGGACAAUUAUAACAACAACAAGCAGAAUUGAACUUUCACAGCAAAAACUCAAUGUACAUAUGUCCAUUGAACAUCCACAUAUUUUAUCACCAGAAAUGGGAUAUCAACGGUCCCCAUUAUGACCCAAAUCAAUUUACUGCACACAGCCUUAAUUUUCCGAAGAAACCUCAUCUGCUGCUCUCUCAAAAAUCAUGAACAUGCACACUCACACAAGAUAGCACAGUGACUUCAACAUCAGUAUCAAAGAGAAAACGUAUCAGAGAGCAUCCCUUACAAAAGGGGGGAAAAAAAGGGAAAAACACAAACACUACGAAAAUAACAAAUCCAACCAAAAGAGAUUCACAGUGAAAACAUCAGCUGAAAUUGAGAAGGGAAAAGCCAAAGAUUACCUAUAACAGGGUCGCUCGUGCUUGAGCUUUCAUGCAAAACACCAACUCUGGAGGGGUUGAUCCUUCGUGGCGGGAAAAUUGGGAUUUUGGAGACUGGAGAGCGAUGAAGACCACAAGGUCGUAGUGGAGGUGGCAAUAAGUUAUGCGAAGGCGGUGGCAAUAGUAAAAGGAUAACGAAUCCAAUUUGAGAUGUUCGAGGAGAGGGUAAACAGCAGAGAAAGGGAGACAGAGAGGAGUUGAGUAUCACAGCUUCUGAGUAUUUUCCGGCAAGGGUCAGUAGUCAAACUGUUGGUUUCGGGUCAUGACUGGCGAGAGAGUGCUGGAUAUGAGGGAAGAAGCUCUAAAGCAAGAUUUAGUAGAGGAACCGCACAGGCAGAGAGGGAGCUGAAGCAGGCGGUGGUUAUGGCGAUGAGAGAAGCACGGUGGCGCGGUGGUGAGAGGCAAUGUGGAGGUAGAGAAGGACAGUUCUUGUGUCUCGAUUGUUGAGGGAGAAGACCGAGAGAAAAUGGCAGAGAAGCCGUGGAUAACCGAAAAAGAUCAAUGGAGGGAGGGAAGUGAAUGAGAACAGGUGAUGAACUAAACUUCGUCGAUGCAAUAAAAAACCUUUUCCUUUUAGAUAACUAAACUUCGUAGGCAUGUACAUAAUAUAAAUCAUGUAGAUGUAAUAUAAUAAAUCCAUAUGAUUUUUAGAUGGCUCUUUUAUUUAUUUACAUGGAAUUAAUUAUAUAUUAAUAAUAUAUAUUAUCUAUAUUAAUAGAUUUUGAAAUCAUAUAUUUCUAUUAUAAAAGAGUUUAGG